This 511-nucleotide ribosomal RNA is filed under the name uncultured Desulfovibrio sp. Its description in RNAcentral is "bacterial SSU rRNA". It matches the Rfam family "Bacterial small subunit ribosomal RNA", at positions 903 to 1382 of the family's 1533-position model. Lineage: Bacteria; Pseudomonadati; Thermodesulfobacteriota; Desulfovibrionia; Desulfovibrionales; Desulfovibrionaceae. The record is from RNAcentral.
UGCGCCUUGCCAGCCCGCUCAGAAACUCAAAUGAAUUGGACGGGGGCCCGCACAAGCGGUGGAGUAUGUGGUUUAAUUCGAUGCAACGCGAAGAACCUUACCUAGGUUUGACAUCCGGAAGACCUUCCCGAAAAGGAAGGGUGCCCUUCGGGGAAUUCCGAGACAGGUGCUGCAUGGCUGUCGUCAGCUCGUGCCGUGAGGUGUUGGGUUAAGUCCCGCAACGAGCGCAACCCUUAUUGCCAGUUGCUACCAGGUAAUGCUGGGCACUCUGGUGAGACUGCCCCGGUUAACGGGGAGGAAGGUGGGGACGACGUCAAGUCAUCAUGGCCCUUACGCCUAGGGCUACACACGUACUACAAUGGCGCAUACAAAGGGCAGCGAUACCGCGAGGUGGAGCCAAUCCCAAAAAGUGCGUCCCAGUCCGGAUUGCAGUCUGCAACUCGACUGCAUGAAGUUGGAAUCGCUAGUAAUUCGAGAUCAGCAUGCUCGGGUGAAUGCGUUCCCGGGCCUU